Long non-coding RNA from Spinacia oleracea (spinach), 878 nucleotides. RefSeq lists it as uncharacterized. The record is from RefSeq and is a predicted model, not a curated record. Lineage: Eukaryota; Viridiplantae; Streptophyta; Magnoliopsida; Caryophyllales; Amaranthaceae. The transcript has 2 exons.
AUCUCAACUUGAAUGUUGCAUAGUGAUUCCCGAGACUAUUCAAUUUUUCCAAGAUUGCUCCGAUUAAAUUAAUCACAACUACAAUUAAUUACAUCUUUGCUUUCUCUCAUAGCUUCAAAAUCUGGGUAGCUUCAUUAGUUGUCGUAGCUACAUACCGUCUACGGUGGUACAGGUGGUGUCGAGGUGUCGUGGUGGAGACCAUCACCAACCUCGCAACAAACGGGUGAUGAUGAUGGUGGUUAUAGAUCUACAAAAUGUGAUCAGAAGAGAGAAAAUCUCUUGAUGAAGGGAGAUUUGCCGGAUAAUUAGUGGAGAUUAUGGCAAUGGAAAUCAACUUAAUCAAGCAAGGUGUAGGAAAAUGGUUGAGAUGAACAAGAGGAGGAAAUUUACAGUAAAGGUGUAUAUAAUUUCUACCAUGUACCAUCUCCCUCUAAUUAGUCCUUUAUGGCGAAUACCGAUGCGACGAUAAUAGACGGUAUUAGGAUUUGAUUGGGGGUUGUUGUGCGUGAUACAGAGGGGCAUAUCGAUCAAUAUAUCAUUGCCGCGGCUGAGCCGCCGAGCGAAGGUGUAGAGCGGGUGGAGCAUGGUUGUGACGGAGGCUAUGGCAGCAAGGUUUGGAUUGGUUAUAGCUAGGCAGUUGGGGUACGAUUGUUUAGAUCUUGUGUCUGAUUCAUUUCUUGAGUUAGGAGGGGUUAUGUGAGUCUUUCCGAUUUCACAUGUUAAAAAGAGCCGGGAGUUUAGAGUUCUUUCGACAUGGGUUAUUGAAGUAUUAGUAUAGAAAUAUACAGGGUGUGCCUAAUUAAACAAUGAUCUGUUUCUAGCCUUUAUUAUUCGGGCUCUGGGAUGAUGUGAUACAUGGUAAUAUACUUCGUACUCUA